Melozone crissalis (California towhee) is the source of this 1240-nucleotide long non-coding RNA. RefSeq lists it as uncharacterized. The record is from RefSeq and is a predicted model, not a curated record. Lineage: Eukaryota; Metazoa; Chordata; Aves; Passeriformes; Passerellidae. The transcript has 3 exons.
CCCCCGAGGGGCCGGGGCAGCUCCCACUCCUCUCUCCUGGGCAGGAUUUGCUCUUCCGCCUCCGCGGGAACGGCGAUUUCUGGCUCGGGCUGCGCAGACGGGGCGAGCGCCUGCACUGGGGGGACGGCAGCAGCUACAGCUCCCGGGUUCCUGUCCUCGGCAAUUCUGAGUGUGUGUACUUGGCUGAAGGGAAAAGAUUCAGGAGUGAGAUGUGCUCAAGUGAGCGGCCGUAUGUCUGCAGCAAGGCCCAAGCUCCCCUGUAACAGGGGCUGCACAAAGGACCUUCUCCACGCUGGGCAAUGCCAGCUUCACCUCUGAGCCCAGCACAGCGCUGUCCUUCCUCAGCUGCGCCCUGUGCCUGGCACUUCCUCUCAGGGUCACCUCAGUGCCUCUGCAUCCCCAGUGCCAGCGCUGGGCUGGGGCUGCAAAGGAAAAGUCUCUGCAAUCCAUCCUGCCACCGAUGCUGCCUGCAGUGAGUGCAUUGCCCUCAUGACACAACAAGCUCCAGUGGGAAAUCCAAAUCUUCCUGGCCUCUCGGGAAUCAUCACAAAGUGGCCAGAACGUGGCACUUGUCAACUGUCUUUGGAAGAGGAGGAAGAACCGCUGACAUGUGCUGAGCAAGAAUCCCACUUUUGGCAUCAGGCACCUGACUGUGCAGAAUAGUCUGUUGUCUCUUUAUCUGUCUGUCUGCUGUGAAGGAUCUGACUGUCUUCCUCUGGGAGGAACCCCAGGCUGGAGCAGGACAAGGAAUUUGUCUCUCGCAGGGAGAAGCAGUGACAUGACGUGACUGUAACCCCCAUGCCUCUGUGCCACUGUGUGGGGAGGAGGGAGGGGGGAACUGGGGACAAAGCGAAGCCCAGGAAGGAGAGAACAGUGUGGAGAAGGUGCAUUUUUAGGAUUUGGGGAACAUCUGAUUCUCUUGCUCUGAUUUGUUUGAUAAUAAAUUCAAUGAAAUUUAAUUUCCCCAGUCUGGGCCUCUUCUGCCCAUGAUGGGUGAGAGAUGUCUGGCUGCCUUUCUUGAGAGCCCCGAGCCUUUCCUGCUGUGUUCUGUUGCCUGCCCAGGGGCAGGAGCAGAGGCUCAGAGCGCUUUUGCUGGCCGCAGGCACCUGGCCUGGCCCAGCCCAGCCCAAGAAUCCCUGCCAGCAUUCCCUGCACCAUUGCCCGGCCCCACGGCGGCUGCGGCUCCGCGGGCAGGCGGCUCCAGGAGUUCAGAGUGGGCAAAAUGGGAGCGAGGGACAGG